This is a long non-coding RNA of Eucalyptus grandis, 758 nucleotides long. RefSeq lists it as uncharacterized. The record is from RefSeq and is a predicted model, not a curated record. The transcript has 3 exons. Lineage: Eukaryota; Viridiplantae; Streptophyta; Magnoliopsida; Myrtales; Myrtaceae.
UGAGUUUCCCGUUCGUGCUUCAAGCUGGAGAACACGCUUUUGUUGUCAGUUUCCAAGAUAACUUCACAGUAGUCUCUCUCUUUCAUAAACUUUAGGGCUUCGAGGACUGCUAGGGUUUCAGCUUGUGCGCUUGAUUCCGCCCAAAUGUUCUUCGAGAAUCCAUCUAAUAGGGUGCCGGAGGAGUCCCGCACAACACAAGCCACGGCUCCCUUCGUUGAUCCUUCCCCGAGCGAUCCGUCAACGUUCAGUUUGAGGCAUCCGGGCUUCGGUGCUUGCCAGAUCUAUCACUUUGCAAGCCUCUGUGUUGGUUCCUCGAAAGAUGAAAUCAUUUCGGCUCUUCCAUACCUGCCAUAGGAGGGUGCCGAUUGUCUCUAGAGAGGGGAGGCGAUUCCACACCCCUGCAACCCAAGGACAGAGGAGAAGAGUAUGUUCGGUCGUCUCCACCGUGGCUCUACAUAAGUCACAUAGCGGGUCAAGUGAGAUUCUUCUUUUCCAUAGAUUCUCCUUAGUUGGUAGAGCGUUUUGACAAGCCCGCCAUAUGAAAAACUUCACUUUUGGGUUGAUUUUCAUGUGCCAAAUUGCAUGCCAUAAUGCUGAUGGGGUUUGGUAUGAUGAGAAAGGGUGCUGAUUGGCUGUGUUUUUUGUGAUGUUGUCUCUCAGUAAGUUGUACCCGUUCUUAAUUGUGAAUGACCCAUGUUGUGUGCUCGUCCAUACCAGUUCAUCAUUAAAAAAAGAACCAUUGAUUGGUGUUGCAAGAA